AUGAGCAUUCGUGUUAUCGUGGCAAACUCACUGGCUGCCAAGGCAAAGGAAGCUACGAAACAGAUUAGAUGGGCGAGACCAGCUAAAGGGGUGAUUAAACUCAAUGUUGACGCCAGCUAUCAUGUGGAUGAGGGCGCGGGAGCUACUGGAGCUGUCUUACGAGAUAGCGCAGGAGCGUUUAUUGCUGCUUCUUGUUCCUUUCGACAGUAUGCCAUGGAUGUUCCCUCUAUAAAAGCGUUAGCACUUUUGGAAGGACUGCGAUUGGCAGAGCAUUUGGGUAUUUAUGCACUGGUUGUGGAGUCCGACUCACAGGAGAUAGUACAAGCUAUGAAGGAUCCUUCGGAGUACCGUGCUUCGGCUGCGGUGUUGACGGAUGAUUGCCGACAGGUGUUGAGUUCCUUCGGCAGGGCGACGAUUGUUCACUGUGCUAGGGAGAGUAAUGGGGUAGCGCAUUGGCUAGCCAGGACUAGUUAUAGAAGGAAGUUAAAUGAGGUCUGGCAAGAGCAUCCCCCUGAUUUCUUAAUUCCCUCCCUGAUAUGA
Molecule: ribosomal RNA, 540 nt
Filed under: Triticum aestivum (bread wheat)
Lineage: Eukaryota; Viridiplantae; Streptophyta; Magnoliopsida; Poales; Poaceae
Description: partial small subunit ribosomal RNA
Source: RNAcentral